This 123-nucleotide ribosomal RNA is filed under the name uncultured bacterium. RNAcentral's name for it is "partial 16S ribosomal RNA". It matches the Rfam family "Bacterial small subunit ribosomal RNA", at positions 394 to 509 of the family's 1533-position model. The record is from RNAcentral.
ACGCCGCGUGAGGGAUGAAGGUCUUCGGAUCGUAAACCUCUGUCAGCAGGGAAGAACGGUCACUGUGCUAAUCAGCAGUGAAUUGACGGUACCUGCAAAGGAAGCACCGGCUAACUCCGUGCC